CCUACGGGUGGCAGCAGUGAGGAAUAUUGGUCAAUGGACGCAAGUCUGAACCAGCCAUGCCGCGUGCAGGAAGACGGCUCUAUGAGUUGUAAACUGCUUUUGUACGGGGGUAAACGCAGAUACGCGUAUCUGGCUGACAGUAUCGUACGAAUAAGGAUCGGCUAACUCCGUGCCAGCAGCCGCGGUAAUACGGAGGAUUCAAGCGUUAUCCGGAUUUAUUGGGUUUAAAGGGUGCGUAGGCGGUCGGAUAAGUUAGUGGUGAAAUAUCUAGGCUCAACUUCGCAAUCGCCUAUGAUACUGUAGGGCUAGAGAGUAGACGAGGUAGGCGGAA
RNAcentral lists this ribosomal RNA (331 nucleotides) under uncultured bacterium. RNAcentral's name for it is "partial 16S ribosomal RNA". It matches the Rfam family "Bacterial small subunit ribosomal RNA", at positions 338 to 666 of the family's 1533-position model. The record is from RNAcentral.